Molecule: ribosomal RNA, 497 nt
Filed under: uncultured bacterium
Lineage: Bacteria
Description: partial 16S ribosomal RNA
Rfam family: Bacterial small subunit ribosomal RNA
Source: RNAcentral
GAUGAACGCUGGCGGCGUGCCUAAUACAUGCAAGUCGAGCGAACGGACGAGAAGCUUGCUUCUCUGAUGUUAGCGGCGGACGGGUGAGUAACACGUGGAUAACCUACCUAUAAGACUGGGAUAACUUCGGGAAACCGUAGCUAAUACCGGAUAAUAUUUUGAACCGCAUGGUUCAAAAGUGAAAGGCGGUCUUGCUGUCACUUAUAGAUGGAUCCGCGCUGCAUUAGCUAGUUGGUAAGGUAACGGCUUACCAAGGCAACGAUGCAUAGCCGACCUGAGAGGGUGAUCGGCCACACUGGAACUGAGACACGGUCCAGACUCCUACGGGAGGCAGCAGUAGGGAAUCUUCCGCAAUGGGCGAAAGCCUGACGGAGCAACGCCGCGUGAGUGAUGAAGGUCUUCGGAUCGUAAAACUCUGUUAUUAGGGAAGAACAUAUGUGUAAGUAACUGUGCACAUCUUGACGGCACCUAAUCAGAAAGCCACGGCUAACUACGUG